RNAcentral lists this long non-coding RNA (682 nucleotides) under Arabidopsis lyrata. RNAcentral's name for it is "long non-coding RNA (ALYR_LNC000732)". Lineage: Eukaryota; Viridiplantae; Streptophyta; Magnoliopsida; Brassicales; Brassicaceae. The record is from RNAcentral.
AUAAUAAACUGUUCUUGACUUGUUUUCUUAUUAGCACACUGAACUUCCAUGAAUCUGAUAAACUAGUGAGUUACACAGCCAUUUAACUCUUUUAUCUUCAGCUAACCUUCCGAGACACCAUCCACAAACAUAGCUCCACCAUGAAGGAAAAAAUAUCCUUAGAUAUGCAUUGCUCCUUUUGUAGCAACAAUACUCCACCUGAAACUAUAACCCUUGGAUGCACUUUGUCUCUAUAAGCUGAGCUUCACCAAUCUGAGUUAAAGCCACUUUUCACUGUAUCUUGGAUUCAUUUCCACGUUCUUAUGAAUCACCAUUAUUACUUGCUUGAGAAAGUGUGUCAAAACAUGAGACACAUCUUCUUUCUUCCUUCAGCCACAUCAAAUGAUCCAUUUGCAACCAGAAAACCACUAAGAACUUGUCUUUAAUUUCUGCAGCCUUGUCCUCUCUUUACUUGGAACAUUCUUCAUGAUCUAAUUGUGAAACAACUUAGGUUGAUACACCAUCAAACCAUACCUCAAUCCCAUAAAUAAAAUCUUGUACUUUCCUGUAGCCAAUUCCACUAUAUACUUGUCUUGCACCGCUGUUCAAACGAACAGGACACGCCGCCUAACACCCUUUGGCUAGGAAGACUUUCGACACAAGAAAAUAGUACAGCCAAUUGCAUACCAUCAGAUGCUUCUUU